RNAcentral lists this ribosomal RNA (301 nucleotides) under uncultured bacterium. RNAcentral's name for it is "partial 16S ribosomal RNA". It matches the Rfam family "Bacterial small subunit ribosomal RNA", at positions 509 to 807 of the family's 1533-position model. The record is from RNAcentral.
CAGCAGCCGCGGGAAAACGUAGGGUGCAAGCGUUAAUCGGAAUUACUGGGCGUAAAGCGUGCGCAGGCGGUUCGUUAAGACAGAUGUGAAAUCCCCGGGCUUAACCUGGGGACUGCAUUUGUGACUGGCGGGCUAGAGUAUGGCAGAGGGGGGUAGAAUUCCACGUGUAGCAGUGAAAUGCGUAGAGAUGUGGAGGAAUACCGAUGGCGAAGGCAGCUCCCUGGGCCAAUACUGACGCUCAUGCACGAAAGCGUGGGGAGCAAACAGGAUUAGAGACCCGAGUAGUCCCUGUCUCUUAUAC